CCCCUCCCUCUAGGCCUUGUACCCAGUGCUAGCACACCAUUGCUGCCCGACGUUCCAUUUCUGCACAUGUGAAUAUUGUGGAGACACUAUUGCUAUUGCUACGGUGUUGAUUGGUGAUGAAUGCGAGGCAAAUGAACAAGGGGGGCGGAUGUGUGUGUUGUUGCUGGGGCCCGAGAAUGUAUACCUACUUCCACUACAUCGAUGCGCAUGACAUUGGGCCAGACUACAUCUCUUCUUCUGCUAUGUUGCGUGUUUAGCGAUAAUGAUCUAUGGCCACCUACUCAUAUGUUGUCUAAUGCAAAAUGAAGAUUAUUAUUUUGUACUGAUGCAGUGUCCCUGUUUCCCUACAUCAACCUCCCUCUACGACUAACCCUAGCUGCCAAACAUGAAACUUCCUCAGGGCCAGUGAUUCAACACCCGAGGAACUCGAAAGCAUCCGCAAGGUGCGGACGUGUAGGAUGGUUUUCUUAUUGCUAAGACCGCCUAGUGCACCCUCAAUAGUAUGAGCUAAGUAUUAGCUAUAAGGCAACAUCUCCAAUGGUGUUAACUUUUAGCAAUAACUUGGAAUAUAAUUAGGCCCCACGCGUGACAACCUCACAUGAUCUUAAAAUGUGUGUAUGAGAUUAACUUAAUUAGUCCCACUUGACAACGUCUUGCUUUUAUUAAAUUCUAAAAUAAAAUACUUAGAGGUAGCUCGUAACUCAUUGUUAGAUGUGCCUUAGGGGGUGUUUAGAUGCUUUUAGAAUGGCAAACCUUUUGGCCUUAAUCUUUUGCUGCAAAACUUUUGCUCAUUCAAACUUUAUAUCUUAGUGUUUAGAUGCACGAUAAAGCUUUAGCCAUGCAGACACAACACGUGUCCCAUGACAUUUUUGCCCAAUUUUAGACCUCUUGAGUCCCAAAUGUCAAAAGUUUAGUAGCCUAAGUUUUGCUCUUUUUGCCUAUGCUAUUAAAAUCCAUUUUGCCAAAAGAUAAGCUAAAACAGCAAAAGUUUUGGCAAAAAAGAGAAAUUAAACAACCCAGAGAGGAUAGAGGAUAGGCUCAUUACAUAAAAAAAAGAUAUGGAAAUAGCCAUAAUACAUAAUAAAAAAGAAAAAAAAAGGAGCGGGAGAGCCAAAUGAAUCGAAAGAUUCAUGUUUGGUUCGGGAAGAGAUCAUAAAAAUUGUAAAAUUAAUAGCAAGAUAAUCUACUUUCAUUAAAAGAUUUAUUAGAUAAUCGAAAACAGAGGAUCUUAAGUACUAUUCGAAAUUCGGAAGAUUCCAGAAUUUCUACAAUAAAUUAGAUAGGUAGCUAAGCUAAUCUAGUUCUCUAUACACGAGUCUGUUGUCGUUCUACUGCAAUAGUUGUACUAGAAUGAUGAAUACCUUGAGCAGGUAAAAUAGAAAGAAGAGUAGGUAGAAAUAGAAAGAAUUUUGUCUUUACUAAUGUCAAUGAGCCGAGCCUACAUUUUAGCUCGUUAAUUUAAAGAGAAGCUUGAGCUAGCAAGCGAGUAAUAAGUUAAGUGAUGAGCCAAGCACCUCAUAGUCCUAUAGCCUAAACAAAAGCAACAAUUAUGCUUGUUGUUUCUUACAAUAUAUUUAUUGGAUUCGAAUUCUAUAGGGAUGCAUGUAUCCUAUCCUAUCCUAUCGCAUUGUACAAAAGCCCUAACAAGCCAAGCCAGCCGUCGUCGGCCGUCGCUACGGACGAGAAAGAGCGUCCUAGCUAGAGCAGCGAAGCCGGGCGGUAGCCCUUGUUGCAGCCUCGAAGGAUCGGAGCUAGCUGCAGCUGCCACCAAAAGGCCUGAGAGCAUGGUCAACGGCCGCCGAGGACGGCGGUCCGUUGGUCGGGUGGCGUCCGUCCUGCACGCACGGCCGUAAAUGGCCCGGAGCCCACCGCGUGAUUCUCGCCGGAGCGCAAGCACGCUCCCGUUCGUCUGCCGUGCCGGUCUCCCCGCCCCGUCUAUCGGCUUAUGCAUCCGAUAGAUCCAUCCGUACGUCGAAUGCAUGAUCCACCGAUCGCGCGCAUUCGCGCAGAUUGGCAGCAAGCGCGUGUCGACUUGUUGCUAUGGCCAUCUGACUAGACUUUGGACUGGGAAACCGCCGCUCUGCUGCUGUGCUGUAGUACUAGUUGGGCACCAGUGACAGCACGGGAUGGAUUUUUUUUGGCAGCGGUUAAAAAUCACUUUUCAGACGCCGCUUUGUACUGCUCUGUUUGAUGGACGAAGUAAUUCUUUUUUUUGUUACUGUGGCUACACGAGCAGCUAAGGCCUCUUUCGACAUAUACAUGAAUAUUAAAUAUAGACAAAAAAAUUAAAUUAAUUGUAUCAUUUGAUUAUAAAUCAUGAGACAAACCUUUUAAGCUUAAUUAGUCUAUAAUUAGCUAUAAUUGUUAUAGUAACCAACAUAUGUUAAUGACAGAUUAAUUAAGCUUAAUAAAUUUAUCUUGGAGUUUCCAGGUGAGCUAUUUAAUUUGUUUUUUUAUUAGUCUAGUUUAAAAUUUUAAAUAUGUGCCAACAUAUUUAAUAUGACACCCAAAAUUUUUCUUUUCGCGACCUAAGCAAGGCCUAAGUAGACGUGGGAGUUGAAAGUACUAUUUUGAAAAGGCAUUUGGUAAAGUAUAGAAAGAACUAAAAAAGCUAGUAUUUUCAGCUCCAUCUAGCACCCACCUCUUGUAAGAGCGGGUUCUUAAGAGUUUCACUCGAGGAGUCAUUUCAUUUUAUAUCAUUUAAAAAUAAAACAAUUCCAAAUAACUCAAGGAGUUAUGUGUCACUGUCGAAGGAGCAAUAGGUUGGCCGCACACUGGAGAAGAGGGCGCUGGUUGUGGAUCCCCCUAUGUUGGGGGAGAUGGUUUCUAUGGUGGAUCCUUGAUGAGGAAGGUGUCAGGUGUAUGUCCUGGGGGAGAAAAGCAUAUAGGUCCUUGACGAGGAGGGGAUGUCGGUGGGUGUGCAGGGCUCGAUGGGGAAGGAUAUCCUAGGAAAGGAAAGCGGAAGUCCGGAGAAUACGGCGGUUGUGUGAGAGAAGUCAUGGGCAGAAGCGGAGACCGGACGGAAAAGGAGUGUGCGCCUAUCAUAGUGGUGUUUUCCAAGCCUGAAACAAUGCCCUUGGGAAGGAGGGGUGAAUUUAUGAGGCCUCUCAAAUUUAAGCGCCCUAGUUGGGUUUUUAUUGAACUUUUUUUCUAGUUCUAGCUCUCAAAUUUGUUUUUGUGGGCCUAAGUAGAAUUUUUACUGAAGUUGCUCUGAAAAUCAGUUUUUAUAGUGCGAGAACAUUUCAGCUUCAAGGUUUUAGUCCGGCGUCUACCGAUUCUAAUGGUACAACUGGCUAAAGGGUUUUGGUUCCGCGCCUACUGAGUCCUUGUUCUAUGUUUUCCUGUAAAUGAUUUGUUUCUUGUAAAAUUUCUGAGCUAUUUCUUUAAACUUUUUGUAUUUCAAAGAAACCCUUAGGCCAGUAUCACUGUAUCAGUGGUCCGUUUCAAUGCACUGUUUCCAAAACAAAUCCGCUGACAAGACAUCAAUGAAACGAAUAAUGAAACAACCUCCACAAUGCAUGAGUUUCACCUUGACGUUUCCUAGGCUGGGCAAUACAUUUAAUUACUGCAAAAUGAUUGGAUCACAUGCAAGAUGGUGAAACGAUUUAUCCCUGAGUGGGGAUUUUAUCCCGUUUUACCGCGUGGGAAACAAUGCCCGUGGAGUUUCACCAUGGUGAAACUACUUCAUUUUCUUUCCUCUUCGUUUCAUGCAAAAAGUGCAGUUUUGCUGACAUUGCGCUCUAAUAAAUGUGCAUGACAUCCUGGUGAAACUCCCAGCCUUAGCGACAAAUUGGGUACCCAUAUUACAAAGAGACCUUUACGCGUGCCUUCAUUUUAUUUUUACAAGCUGAAAACUUAAUCUGGAUCUUCGAGCUAGAGCUACGCCAAUCGCUAUGGUUAUCACCGGAGUUCAAGUAAAAAUAGGUUUUACUUCAGUCUGGGAAAAAAAAAUGUCCCAUACUUGAUUCCUUUUAGUCAAGCCAAAAGCCGCAUUGUCGGUGAGCAACGGCUCCAACUUCACCAAUUUUCGAGCAGAUCAGCUUUUCAUUGCAAGUAGAAUUUUGCUCACACGGUAGGGAGAAAGCGAGUGAAGAUUGUUGAUUGGAACUUGCAUGCAGCUCGAGCUCGUGACAUUAUUGUAGCGGCAGUAGACUAGUACGCAUUCGAUCUCGAAAGAAGCGUACCUUUCAUGCUACAGUCGGUAUCACAACCAGAUUACACCCACAUAAAUCAUACAGAACCCCAACUUACUCAUUUGGCCUCAUUGUCUCUGAUCGCGGCCUGCACGUUGUGGGCACUGGCCGGUCUUGAGAUUUGGUCGAAGGGGUGAUCCACAAGUGUUUAUUUGUUCCAGUGACCUACAUCACGGUGAUUGUCUCACUGAACGCUAAGAUUGGACACCCGUUCCAAGCAUAUUAUGCGACAUGGUUGCUUCACCAAUUUCACAUCAAAUAUUCUUUAUUUCUUGAUGUGAACAGGAGGAGGUGACCCCUACACAUCAAUAUUAUUCUUGUGCAAGCAACUGAGAUGCACUCCAUAUUUAUUUCCAUGUAUCGAUCAUUUGACUCAAAAACUUAAAUCGAAAGAGAAAGAUGAACAAAACAUUUUUCUUUCGAUAAUAUAUUGCGGCGCCCUCACAUGCUGGCUCUCCGCUCUCUCAUGCUUUAAACGACGUGGGAAAGAGUGUGGAAGGGUUUUUGUAUUCAAAUUCUGGCAACCCCUCAACCAGUUCUCGCACGGGCUAGAAAUUAAAAAAAAACAUAAGCAUUAGUUAGGCCUGUUUGAUACAACACCACCAGUUCUUGAAGCUAUAUUGUGCUAAAUGAGUUAAAAAAUAGCUUAAUCUAAGGAGCCCCUUAAAAUCGUGCUCUCACAAAGGUUUGCUACGGUGUGAAGUCAAAAAAAAGUAGCUUCACUUAGCUUCAACCCGCGCUCGUGGUCCCUACUAUAUAGAGAAGUCUAUUUUGCCCCUAUUGGCACUGCUAGGGUGUGCAAGCACAUGCCUAGGUUGUUGGGUUUUUUUUUGAAAAGUGGCUAGGGUGUUGGGUUGCUAGGCCAUCGGGAGCACUGGUGUGGCCAUAGGCGUGUGAAGGUCAUCGGGAUAUGGUCAUGGCCCAGGACACGUGGGGGGGCCCAGGACACGUGGGGGUGCAGUCGUGGAUGCCAAGGCGCGGGGGCACAGCCACGAGGCGCCCAUGCAUGGUCGUGGUCGCCUGGGCUCGCACCAUGAUUACCAUGAAGAUGUGCUCAGAUGCAGGGAAGAAAGAAGCCCAUGAAGUCCAAAGGAUAAGGAAGAAGGAUAUGGAAUAUGAGGAAAAGAAAGAAGGGUAUUAUAGUCAUUUCAUGCUUUUUGGUCUAUCUCUUAGAACAGACCAUGAAAACUGUUUCAACUCCAUCGAUAGAGUUGAUCAUGGAGCUCAAGAAAAAAGAGCAACUUCACUAGUGAAGUGGAGCCAUGCCAAACAGAGCCUUAUUAUUUAAUAUCUCUGACUAAUAAAAAUUACUUAUAUGAAAUUACACACUUUUUCUUGUUUAUUUUCUAACACAAUAUAUAUACGUAAUACAUAAUGUAGUUUUUAUCCAAUUGAAAUAAAGUUACCAAUCAUUGAUCUAUAUGUUUCUUCAUCCAUAUCUAUAGUUUUCCUUUGCAUGGCACCUCUGUGUAUCUUGUCAUGAAUUAAUUUUAAAAUUUUAUUUUUGUUAUCUGCUAUAGAUUUUUUAUUAUCCUAGAGUUAAGUUGAAACUCUGGUAUCUAUUGCACAACUUAUUAACCCUUUUGUAGUUUCACAAAAAGAAGACUUUAGGUCGUAAGACACACUCUUAAAUACUAUGAUGGCAUAAACAGUCAUUUGAAACAUGCACCAUGUCAGAUCUUUGGUCAAGCCUGAAGAGUACUAUUUAAGUCAUAUUAAUGAUUGUUUACUCUUAAGAAACCUAGGAAGGGUACGAAGAUAUACACCUGUGCUCUGCACUAACCUCCCUCGUUUCUCAAGAUGCUUGGAUUUUGUUAUACAUCAAGGAAUUAUAUCUGCAAUAAUGGUUAUAUAUACUAUCAAUACUAUAGUUAUGUAAAAUGCAUUAGUUAAAAUUUAUACAUAUAUAUUUUGUAUGUCAUGGAUAUUAGUAUAAUUUUAAAUGAUUUGUUAGGAUCAUUAAGUAUAUGAUAAACUGCUACGAAAAUGUUUUUCAAGGCAGUUGAAACAUAUAUAUUUUUGAGUGAAAUUGGAGGGGUUUGCACCCCUACGGGAAAAUUUAUUUAAUGAAAACAAGGUUUACAGACCAAAAAAAAAGAAAAACAGGGUAAAGAGUUAAAAGAGUCAUCUAGGAGAGACAAAAGUUAAGAAAGAAAAUACAGCUCAACACUGAGCAGAACCAAGCUAGGAGAGAUUGCUUAUCCAUUGCUCUAAAACAGUUCGGAACCUUCUCUUGACUCUCGGAGAGAGGCAACCUAUUUCACCUCUGAAACUAUCCUUUGAUGACUGCAGGUUUGGAGGUAUUUGAUGAAAAAUCCAAUCAUUUCUGGACUUUCAUAUCGUCCAACACAUUAUGACAACAAUCUCCAUUGAGAAAGGUGUUGAAACAUAUAUAUAUUUAUAGGGUGUUUGGGAUUGCUUCACAAACUCUGCUUUACAAAUUCCACUGUGUAGCAGCUCCACAAAAAACUAGAGUUUGUGGAGUACCUCUUUAGGUGCUUUCACAACUCCACUCUUUUUCUUCGAACUGAGUGCGUGGAGCUAAAAUUAUUUGGCUAAAAAACGUGGAGCAGAGCUAAAAAAAAUGUGGAGGGAGUAGUCCCAAACACCCCCUACUAUUUACUAUCACUUAUGCAUGCAUGUAUACUUGAUCGACGUGAUGGCACACAACAAGUUAUUUUAAAAGUUUAUGUAAUAGAAGAUUUUGGUAAUUUAGAUUAUGUACAUUUUUGGUAAUUUAGAUGGUGUAGAUUUGAGAUGAUAUUUUAAUUUUUCUUAAUAAUUGUAUAAGCGUAAGUUAGAUAUGUGCGAUUACUUUAGACCAUGUUUUAAUGGCAUAUAGAUGGACAAUUUAAAUAUUGAUUUAUGUGUUACUUUAUGAUAUUUUCUUAUAAAUACACAUAAAUAAAACUUGUAGGCGUCAGUCUGUAGGAAAACGAUAUGUAUGUUAUUAUUAUAUCAUCAUGUGCUAUUAUUAUGUGAUGAGAACCCAAAGCUCACAGAUGGGCUUCUGCGCUUUUUCUCAGCUCCGACGGUUGACAGGAACUGGCCCAAUCUCUUCUUAGUCAGGCCGCCUAGGAAGAAACAGCCCGUUCUGUGAAACUACGGACUUGUAGACUUUGUAGUAGUGCAAAUGGUCCAAGCACAUCAUGAAACAAUGGCUAGCAAAGAGGCUCUUAAUGAAAGGAAACGCGAGCUCGAUUCCACGACUGGAAAAGAGCCCAGCACAUCCACAACCAAAACAUGUGGCCCAGAUACACUUCCCAGCGUUUUUUUUGCGACGACUUCCCAGUGCAUUAAGGAGGGGUAAUCAGUGUAUAACAAACCAAUUCAGUUUGAUUUCAUAGGUGAUGAGGAGAAAACUCGGUGUUGGACUUAAAACCGAUCGGUGUAAAUAGCUAUGUUUCAUGGUGGAUCCAGGAUUAAAAUUCAUCGAAUUGUGUUACUACUAAUUUAUAUGGUGGAGCAAUCAUAUAGAAAAUAAAAAAAUAAAAAUGGUUACUUCAUCAAUCUCAAGAUAUGUUAGUUUAGUCAUAGUCCUUUUAGAGGUGUUGUUCUUUGAAUGAUAGGUGAUAUGCUUGUCGACAAUGAGAACUUUAUGGUGACUUUGUCAAUCUCAAAAUUUAUCGAUUUAAUCUCAGUCUUUUUGAGGUGUUGUUCUUUCGAUGGUAUUCCUACUCAUUUUAUAGAGGAUGAUGUUCUCUCUAUAAACUUGAUCAACACAAUUUAACUUAAAACAAACCUAGAAUAGAUUUUUUGUUUGGACGAAUGUAGCAGUUUUAGUGAUGAGAGUGAAAGAAAUUUAUUUUAAAUUUACUUAUAUUAAUAAACUAACUUUUUGUUAAGUCUUUCUUCCCAACAUAUUUAUGAAAAUCGAACUGCAAUUUUUUUUUGAAUUUCAACUUUUUUUUGAAUUUAACUAUUUAUUACCUAUAAUUAGGAGUUAUUUGUUCAGUUUUUUUCUUCUCAAUUAUUUUGAGAACAAACUCUCUUUUUUUUUGGCGGAAUGCUCAUUUUUAAAAUAAUAUGCUUAAAUCUGCGUCUUUUCUAGAUCAGAAAAAAGUGUCGUAGUUUACUUUAAGUUUAUUGUAGAUCUAACUUCUUUGACUUUAACCAACUUUAUAGAAACUGUACCAACAUCUACGACGACAUCAAAUUUAUUCUAUUUUCACAUAAUUUAUUUUAUUUUCAUAUAGACUUGUACAUACUAACAUAUAUUUUAUAAAACUUAGCCAAAAUUAGAAAGUUUUGAUUUAAUACAAAGCUAAAGCUAAAGUCAAUUACGAUUUAUUAGAACAAAGAAGUAAACUAGUUGUGGCGUCGUGUGAUAUACUCCUACCUGCUGUACCAAUAUUGUUCUUUUCUGUUUAACUUCACCCCUUAUUUGCUGCUGGAUUUGCAGUGUAGCAUGCAAGUGCAAAUUAAAACCAACCUGAACCUGAGACUGAAGACAGGAGGGGUUGUGUAAUCAAUCACUCGUCCCUAGCCCUAGCUUUGUUGUGUUAGGGCACUCCCAAUGCAAGACUCUAUCAUAAAGUCCAAGACAAUUAAUUACAUAAUAUUUAUAGUAUUUUGCUGAUGUGGCACCAUAUUUAUUGAAGAAAGAGGUAGAAAAAAUAAGACUCCAAGUCUUAUUUAGUGCACUCCCAAUGCAAGACUCUAUCACAGAGUCCAAAACAAUUAAUUACAUAUUAUUUAUGGUAUUUUGCUGAUGUGGCACCGUAUUUAUUGAAGAAAGAGGUAGAAAAAAUAAGACUCCAAAUCUUAUUUAGACUCCAAGUCCACAUUGUUCGAGGUAAUAAAUAACUUUAGACUCCAUGAUAGAGUCUGCAUUGUGAGUGCUCUUAGACUCCAAGUCCACAUUGUUCGAGGUAAUAAAUGACUUUAGACUCCAUAAUAAAGUCUGCAUUGUGAGUGCCCUUAUCAUUUGGGGCCUGGAGAUCGAUCCAGGACGCCUUCCUGAAAUCUUGAUUGCUUCUCGACACCUGGUCCCUUUGGUUAAGGCCCUGUUUAGUUUUCUAGCAAAAAAUUUUUAUCCAUCCCAUCGAAUCUUUAAACACAUGCAUGAAACAUUAAAUGUAUAUAAAAAAUAAAUUAAUUACACAGUUUGGUUGAAAAUCGCGAGACGAAUCUUUUAAGCCUAGUUAGUCCAUGAUUAGCCUUAAGUGCUACAGUAACCCACAUGUGCUAAUGACAGCUUAAUUAUACUUAAUAGAUUUGUCUUGCAGUUUCCUGAUGAGUUAUGUAAUUUAUUUUUUUUAUUAGUUUCUAAAAAACUCUCCCGAUAUCCUUUUGACAUAUCCGAUGUGACAUCCAAAAAAUUUUCAUCUUCAAUCUAAACAGACCCUAAGCUGUCGCUUUGGCCCAUGCAUGAUCCCUCUCUCCGCUCUGACGACGAUGCGUGCAGCAGACCGUCCGGUUACUGGGGCACUUAAUUAAUUAAAGCCUUCCAAUAAUCCGCUCAACAUCAGGAGGAGAAAGGCUAGUGAUUUUUCUCCUUCAAGUCAUGAUCAUUUUCAGUCGUCUAUACUAUAUAUCUAUCGUGUUCAGAACACUAGUAGCUGAGAUUGGUACAGUACAAGUACAGUACACAAAGUGACGAUCGCCGUCCAUCGGCCUACGGGUAGCAUUGCAUGGCUAAGGGCUCGUUUAGUUCACCCUGGAAACCAAAAAAUUUUCAAGAUUUUCCGUCACAUCGAAUCUUAUGUCACAUGCAUGGAACAUUAAAUAUAGACGAAAACAAAAACUAAUUACACAGUUUAGCUGUAAUCACGAGACGAAUCUUUUGAUCCUAGUCCAUGAUUAGAUAAUAUUUGUCACAAACAAACGAAAAUGCUACGGUACCGAAAACUUUUCACUUUUCGGAACUAAGGCCUUGUUUAGAUGUAAACAGUUUUUGGAUUUUGACACUGUAGCAUUUUCGUCUUUAUUUGACAAACAUUGUCUAAUUAUGGAGUAACUAGGCUUAAAAGAUUCGUCUCGUGAUUUACAGGUAAACUGUGUCAUUAGUUAUUCUUUUUAACUAUAUUUAAUACUUCAUGCAUGUGCUGUAACACUCUCGUGUUAAGCGAAUUAAAAAUGGGACAUGUCAUCAUGAGCAUUGCAUCAAAAAUAUGUUAAGCACACACUAAUGCAUUAACCUAAAAUAAGUUUAUUUUGGAUAAAUGUGUUUAGGAAUUUGAGUGUGUUUAUUUUAUGUGUGGAUGCUUGUUUUGGAGUUUAAAAACGUUGGGUGAGGGUUUUCCGAGAAGCUUAAAGGGGGGAAACCCUAGUUUCCAAAACCCUAGAUUUGCCCCCUUUUGUGCAAUUCAAAAACCAAGCAGAAUUUGAAGUUGAGUUUAAAAGCAAAGUUGUAGAUCUGGUCAAGAUGUACAACUUUGGUGUUUUGAGUUUUUGAAGUUUCAAAACAAAAUUCAAAGUAAUUUUGAAAAUACAGAUUUCCGGAAAAUGUCCCCUUUUCUAAAUUGAAUCUCCAAUUAAAAAUCUGUUUGGAAUUUUGAAAAAUGGUCAACAUAAGAGUUGUAGAGCUUGAAAAGUUGAACAACUUUCAUGUUGGAAGUUUUUCAAGUUGUUGUGUAAAAUCAAAAGUAAUUUCUGAAAUUCUGUUUUGCCCCAAUUCAAAAAUUUGGAAUUAAACUUGAAUUUCAAACUGUUUGGCUCAAAUUCAUCCCUUUCCAUUUCAAAUCUGUCUUUGGUCAUUAAAGAUGUUUUGUAGCUCACAAAAUUUUGCACAAGUUUCUUUUUGGUGAAAAUUUGACUUCAGUUCAACUUUUGGUCGAUUUUUGCAAAACCAGACAAAAAGGGGGGGAUAAGCUUUGGUUCCUGUUCAUGGCGGUGGACACCGGGUCUGGAUCGGUGAAUGCCAGCGCAUGGCCACCGUUUUACCUCGUCCACGCGCGUGUUCACGUCCGUGACGAUGUGGAGCAGCUGCUGGCAACCAGAGGCGCGACGUGCCCUUCUCUUCUGCGAGCACCGACUGCUUUUCCGCCACCGGAGCACCGAGGAGCAGUAUCACGUCCUCAUCCAAAUUGGCCGUGCUCGAUCCUCCUCGCAUCAAAUUGAGCCGUCCACGAUGAUCGCCACCUCCUUGCGAAUCCAGAACACCACCAAGCUCGCCCCAUAACCCUCUCAGUCGCCGGGACACCUCCAUCCUCUCCAACUCCGAUCAAGACCGCCGCCGUGGGUCUUUUCCCGUGGCCACGGUGUUCUGCUCGAUAUCAUGCUUAUCCAGCCGUUGUUUCAAGUUCUACUUGUGUUCUAGUAGCUCAUGCGCUCUCUCUUUUGCUUUGGGCACGAACAGAAUCGCCGGGACGAGCUCGCCGGAGCCGGAGCGCCCGCCCGAUCGCACUGUCUUCGUCGCCAGCAACUUCAGCUGCUUCUCCCGCCGUGGUGAAGUGAGCAUCGUGUUCCUUACACCACCUUGAACCUCCCUAUGCCUUUCGUUUGCUCUCUACCGGGUCCUAGUGGCCGGCCGACCGUCGGCCAUGGCGACCGCCCGCUCCUAUCGUAGCCGGGGUGGUAGCAGUGCGGUAGAGCGUCCGCGAGUGGUACCAAUGGAGUCGCGGAGUUGAGGCGGAGCCGAUGCGCACGCGCGCGGAGGCCAAGAGCCUCGCUAUCGGUCGUCGGAGUCGCGGCCGAGCCGCCGCGCGUGAACGGGACGGAGCUGACAGGUGGGGUAUAUCUGUCAGCGUCCUGCGUGAGGGAGAGGGCGCGGGCGCGCGCAGCGUGGAUGCGGGCCGAGUUGGAAUGGGCCGGCCUGCGGCCCAGUUUCCGGGUCAUCCACUGUGCAGUUCUUUUUCUUUUUCUUUUUGUGCAGUUUAUGAUAUAUGUUUGAAUUUGUGUAGUAAAUUUUGUGCUAAUCCAAAAAAUUUUGAGAAUUUUUGUAUGGCUUCCUUAAAAUGAGUAGAACACAUGAAAAAUAUUAGGUUCUAUUUUCUGAUAGUUUGCAUGUGUAUUUAAAUUGCCUUUGUUUAUUAAUGAAUAAACCUUCCAUGAUUUUUAGUAAAUUAUGGGUAUAUCCAAAAAUCAUGAAAUUUAAUAUGUGAGCUUGUGUUAAUGUUAUUUAGCUUCAUGAUUAAUUUCAGCUCUGUUUGAUAAAAUAUGCUCUGUCUAUUAAUAAAGUUAUUUAAAAUGCUUAUAAAAGAAAUAGAAAUAAUUAAUCCCUUUAGGGUUUGGGUGAUAUUUUGGAUUGUUUGACAACCAUGGUCACUUAGCAUGAUAUGCUCCCUGGUUAUGGUUUAUUUUCAUAUAAAUAAUCUUUAUGGUAUAAUAGAUUCACAGUUUUGCUUAAUAAAAAUCAUAAAGUUUGUUUAGUAGCGAGUUAUGCUUUGAUAACUAGAUUAAUGAGUUUCUUUACCAUGAAGGUAAAGUGUACUCAAGAUAGUCAUGUUUAUUGUUGUCAUCCAAGAACAUGUAACCUGUCUUUAUCAUGCCAUGAGUAUAUCAUAAUCAUGCAUAUGCAUUUUUACGUAUAGAAUACGCUCCGGAAGAAUCUGAUCCUCAGUGGAUUUCUUCCGAGUUUGUGGAUCCUUCGGGUGUUGUUGAAUUGCCGAACGUCUCCUCCGACCAAGGCAAGCCCCGGACAUUAAACCCUAUCCUUGUAUUUUCAUAAAGUUAUUUAUAUCACUUGAGUUAAUAUGAUGCAUUAGGUGAAUACGAGUUGAGUGAAUCCUAUUUGCUGCAUUAUCUACCUUGAUGAUUUCAAUAUCUACCUUGGUACUUGCUUUAUGAAAAUGUUUAGUAUGCUUAGCCCCGCUUAUUAGAUAAGUUUUUUUAAAUGCAAGAGUUUGAAGGGUUGUUGUGGAAUACUCUUCUAGUUAAUGAUGUUCAAAUUGAGACCGGUCGGUGGACUUGCUUUAAGAAUGGAGUCUUAAAGUAGUGUUUCCAACUGUGUCGAUUAAGGACCGUACCGUUGAUUGGCCUGUUGUGAUUGAGACCUUUGAGUACAGCCCACAUGCGGCGGUAAGCCUUACCUAUAGCUAUUCCGAUACUUGAGAACGGCUAACCGCGUACUGGGAGUGGAAAGAUGGCGAGAGUAGCGUGUACCCACCUUACGGAUCUGAGAUGACCGGGAAACAUCUAGAUUGGCUGUAGGAUGGUGGUGUACUGUACUCUCGGGUGACGCUGGACCCGUUCUUGUAUGGGAGGAUCUAUAGAAAAGGUUGACAUAUGCAAGAUUAAGUUCUACAUAUGUCGUGUGGUACUGAAUCCCCAGCUGGGUUUAAUCGAUUCGAAUCGCCGUGUUUCCUCGGAUAUGGAGCCUCAAUCCUCGUACCAUCAUCGUAGUAAUAAGUGAAUCUUUGGUAUAAGAAAGAGAUGAGUUGUUUAUGCAAGUUGGAUAAUGAUCUUGGCUAGUUAUAAGUGAUAAUCUUGAGUUAAAACUUGAAAGUAGGCUUUAAUCUUAGUAAGCUUUUAUGCAAAAGAAAUACUUGAUCUUGUGAAAGCUUUACCUUGAAUCCCCAUAGCCUGCAUACUUGAGUCUUCACCUCUUUUAUAGUCGGUUAAGUCUUGUUGAGUACUUUCGUACUCAGGGUUUUAUUAACCCAUGUUGCAGGUGAAUCUCUUGAUUAUCUUUUCGAUGGUCAUGGUUACUUUACUCUUGUUGAGGAAAGUGACGAUGAGGUUUCUGAUGUGUGACCUUGGGCAAGUAAAAGUCGUUGUGUGAAUCUAUGGUUUAUGUAAUAAUAAAGUUCCGAAGCCUUUAUGUAUCAAAUACUUAUGGUUUGUAAACUAUGAACUUAAGUUUCAAACUAUGUUAUGUAACCUUUCCGCUUUUACUCUGAUUUCUCUUAUCUAUGAAAUGUUGUAAUACUGUGAUGCUUGAUGAGGGAAUUCCUGAAAAGAAUGUUACGUGGAUGAUUCGGGUUUCCCGAGGACACCCGACAGACUUCUUGAGUCAUUUGGAACUCGUGCACGUCGAUCAGAAGUCUUUGGGACAAUGAUGUGUGCAUGUGGGCCACUUAAUUCAGGAGGUUCUGCCACAGCUGGUAUCAGAGCAGGUUUCCCUUAGAAAGUAUAGCAGUAUUCGAUUUUGAAAACUUCAAAAGCUUUUGAGUCAAACUAAAUUCCAAAUUAGUUUGAGUCCAAAUUGCUUCUAAGCUUGUCUUAUGCUUCUAACUUGUCUCAAUUCAUUCUUUAGACUUAUCCUUCUAUCCAAUUGGAUAUGUUCUUAGUAUAAUUAUGGUGAUAUCUAUAUACAAGGAACGAUGCUUAUAAUGUUAUAAUAUUGCCCUAUUUAUGAAAAGAAUGUUUAUGCACUUUUAUAUCAAGUGACUAAUUUAAAGAUAAUUACUUGUUUGAUGUAUGCUUUGUUCGUAAGUACGCUUCAUGCAUCAUUAAUGAUAACAUGUAAUUAACUUUCCUCCUUAAAGUUGUUAAUAACUAGGGGUAAUAUGUCCAUCUAAUUGUAAAACUCUAUCCUUUAACCUUGGAACAUAUAUAGUUCUAAUAUUCAAAAUAAAAAUAUUUUGGCAGAUGGCUCGUACCCGUCUAACCGCUCGCAAGUCCACCGGAGGUCGUGUCCCCAGGCACCAGUUGGCAUCAAGGGAUCCGCCACCCUCCGAUAGCAGCGACAGCAGCACUGACAACUCCAGCGACGGAAACGGGAGUGACACCAGCGGAGGUCCUCCUUCGCCAAGGACCUACAGGCUUAUGAAGAAUGAUCUGCGCCUGAUGCUCACUGACAACAUCAACAUGGAAGUUCAGCUGUACCAUAUGGCAGGGUAUGUGGUCACUCUUGAGGCUUAUGCCAACACCCUCCAUGAGGAAGUGCACCAGCUGCAGGAUGCCCUCAAUCCACCCGAGGCUCCUGAAGCAGCAGAGGAAGGACCAGUUGUCAUCCAAGUGGAUAGUGAUACUUCUGAGGAUGAAGCAGAGGAACCAGGAACCCCCACUCCAGAUGAGGGUGUUACCACCAGUGAGUCGGAGAUGGAUGACGACUAGGUGUUGAGAAGGCAAGAAGUAUGACCGAGUGUGAUCUUCUGACUUUGUAACUUAGUUAGUCAGAAAACCUCUAGUAUGGGAAGUGUGUAAGAUAGUGGUUUCGGAAGUCCUGCCCAGGAGCGGACUUGUAUGAUAAAUAAGAUGAACUGUUUGUGUUAUGUAAGCCAUGAGGUAUGAUGUUUAAGUAAGUAUGUUAAUCGAAGUAUGAUGUGUUUUUAAACAGAUGUCUGCUAACAACCAUGGAGCUAGUUCUUCCCAGGGUGGGGAUGAUUUUCCUAAUGCACCACCAGUUCCACCCUCUUUGGCUGAUGCAAUUGCAGCAUUGGUCAAUGCAACAACUCUGUUAGCACAAAAUCAGAAUGCUGGUCAGCGUGGCCGUGGUCGCCAUAACAGAGAAGAAACCACAUAUGUUGACUUCACAGAUACUCGUCCCCCAGUAUUCACAAAAGCUGAUGAACCUCUUGAAGCUGAGGAUUGGCUUCGCACUAUGGAGCAAAAGUUCAGUCUCAUCAACUGUACUGAAACUCAGAAGCCAGCUUUUGCCGCUCAGCAGCUGAGAGGAGCAGCAGGAGUUUGGUGGGAAAAUUUACUAGCUGUUCAACCAGCCCGCCACCGAAUCACUUGGGGAGAAUUCAAGGAAGCCUUCAGGGCUCAUUACAUUCCCAAAGGAGUUAUGAAAAUGAAGCUCGAAGAGUUCUUAGCUCUCCGUCAGGGGGAUGACUCAGUUAUACAGUAUAUUGGAAAGUUUAAUCAUCUGUCCCAAUAUGCAAUUGAGCAAGUCAACACUGAUGAAAAGAAGAAGGAUUGUUUCAUGAGAGGUUUGAAUACAAAGCUUCAGCUGAUGAUGGCAUCAUGUGGCAAUAUAUCUUAUCAUGAGGCAGUGAACAUUGCUAUCUCCAGUGAAGAAAAGAAUCGCAAACAUAAGGAGGCUAAGAAGAAGAAGGGGUUUGUCUCAGGGUCUGGAUCAUCUGGCGGCAACAAGAAGCGUCAGAGGCUUGUAUAUCACCCAGCUCAGCAGUUCCGCCCAUCUUAUCGCCCUCCUUAUCAGCCGUCUCAGCAGCAGAAUAUGCAGAGGAAUUUUGCAAGGCCGACAAUGCCAUUCAAUGUUCAACGUCAGCCAAAUGUUCCUGCCGUCCGUCCGCCAAUGUCACAAGCUGUAAACAACCCUUGUUACAAUUGUGGGAAGAGUGGACAUUUUUCUCGUGAAUGUCCAUAUCCAAGGCAAAAUAUUCCAAAUGCCAAUGCACCAAGACCAGUUGGAAAUCAGCAAGCAAAUCCCAACAAAGGUAAUGUCCAGAAUCAGCAGAAGGGUAAGGGUACUCAGAAAACAGGAAGGGUUUUCCAUACUCAAGUUGAAGCUAUACCUGAGGGAGAGCCAGUGAUGCUUGGUAUGUUCCCUGUUGCCCAACACCCAGCACUUACACUUUUUGAUUCUGGAGCAUCACAUACUUUCAUGAAUAGAGCAUUUGCGGAAAAGUAUAAUAUACCUAUUGGUGCAACCAAAGAUGAGUUCUUUAUACAGUCACCUGGGGGUCGACUAUGCACUAAGGAAAUGGUACAUCAGGUGCCAAUAGACUUGGGUGGAUAUAUAUUUCCAACAUCCAUGAUAGUGUUAAAAGAUCCAAGUAUAGAUGUGAUCUUGGGUAUGAACUGGAUGAGUCAGAGAGGUGCAGUUAUAGACACCUUAAAUAGAACUAUCAGGGUCAACUUACCUAAUAGUAAAUCUCAACUUCUUAUCCAUCUUCCUACCCUUAAGAGAGCAGUUGAGCAAGUAUGUGCUACCUCGGUUAAGGAAAUCAAGGAUAUUCCAGUGGUCUGUGAGUUUCCUGAUGUGUUUCCAGAAGAUUUACCUGGUCUGCCACCGGAUCGUGAUGUGGAGUUUGAAAUAGAGCUCAAGCCAGGGACAGCACCAAUAUCUAGAAGAGCUUAUAGAAUGCCACCAAAAGAGUUAGCAGAAUUAAAAACUCAGUUGCAAGAAUUGAUGGAUAAAGGUUUUAUUCGACCUAGUUCAUCACCCUGGGGUUGUUCGGCAAUCUUUGUGAAGAAAAAGGACCAUACCUUAAGGCUAU
Molecule: long non-coding RNA, 17203 nt
Filed under: Sorghum bicolor (sorghum)
Lineage: Eukaryota; Viridiplantae; Streptophyta; Magnoliopsida; Poales; Poaceae
Source: RNAcentral